RNAcentral lists this ribosomal RNA (253 nucleotides) under uncultured bacterium. Its description in RNAcentral is "partial 16S ribosomal RNA". It matches the Rfam family "Bacterial small subunit ribosomal RNA", at positions 524 to 776 of the family's 1533-position model. The record is from RNAcentral.
UACGUAGGGUGCGAGCGUUGUCCGGAAUUACUGGGCGUAAAGAGCUCGUAGGUGGUUUGUCGCGUUGUCCGUGAAAACUCACAGCUUAACUGUGGGCGUGCGGGCGAUACGGGCAGACUGGAGUACUGCAGGGGAGACUGGAAUUCCUGGUGUAGCGGUGGAAUGCGCAGAUAUCAGGAGGAACACCGGUGGCGAAGGCGGGUCUCUGGGCAGUAACUGAUGCUGAGGAGCGAAAGCGUGGGGAGCGAACCGG